UGACAUGCAGGGGGGCAUUGCUAAAACUGCACCAGGGUGAACUGGGGUGAAGCACCAUGGAAGAGAACCAUAAGUGCCACAUCUCAGGCGUGUGAGAGGUGCUGGGGCAGGAGUAAUGGGCCCUGGACCAGUAGCUAGGAUCCAGGCUCAGCAUAUCCCAGCCAUGAAGGUGCUGGGCCUCGGAAGGGAGGAAGCGCAUGACUCAGCAGCACAGCCGAGAGCUGAGUCAGCAGGGCCAGCAGAGGCUAGAAGAGGAGAUGUGGACAUGGAUACCUGGGGGCUGGAUCAAAGGGAAAUUCAGGA
RNAcentral lists this long non-coding RNA (303 nucleotides) under Homo sapiens (human). RNAcentral's name for it is "non-protein coding lnc-SHH-1:3". The record is from RNAcentral. Lineage: Eukaryota; Metazoa; Chordata; Mammalia; Primates; Hominidae.